GUGCCAGCAGCCGCGGUAAGACGAGGGGUCCUAGCGUUGUUCGGAAUCACUGGGCGUAAAGCGUUCGUAGGCGGCUCUAUAAGUCGGGUGUGAAAUCCCACGGCUCAACCGUGGAAGUGCAUUCGAAACUGCAGAGCUUGAAUAUGGUAGAGGGUAGUAGAAUUCCUGGUGUAGUGGUGAAAUACGUAGAUAUCAGGAGGAAUACCGGUGGCGAAGGCGGCUACCUGGACCAAUAUUGACGCUGAGGAACGAAAGUGCGGGGAUCAAACAGGAUUAGAUACCCGGGUAGUCC
This 292-nucleotide ribosomal RNA is filed under the name uncultured bacterium. RNAcentral describes it as "partial 16S ribosomal RNA". It matches the Rfam family "Bacterial small subunit ribosomal RNA", at positions 505 to 796 of the family's 1533-position model. The record is from RNAcentral.